RNAcentral lists this ribosomal RNA (440 nucleotides) under uncultured bacterium. Its description in RNAcentral is "partial 16S ribosomal RNA". It matches the Rfam family "Bacterial small subunit ribosomal RNA", at positions 338 to 795 of the family's 1533-position model. The record is from RNAcentral.
CCUACGGGAGGCAGCAGUGGGGAAUAUUGCACAAUGGUGGAAACCCUGAUGCAGCGACGCCGCGUGAAGGAAGAAGUAUUUCGGUAUGUAAACUUCUAUCAGCAGGGAAGAAAAUGACGGUACCUGACUCAGAAGCCCCGUCUAACUACGUGACACCAGCCGCGGUAAUACGUAGGGGGCAAGCGUUAUCCGGAUUUACUGGGUGUAAAGGGAGCGUAGGCGGGUUAGCAAGUCAGAAGUGAAAGCCCGGGGCGCAACUCCGGGACUGCUUUUGAAACUGUUGAACUAGAUUGCAGGAGAGGUAAGUGGAAUGCGCAGUGUAGCGGUGAAAUGCGUAGAUAUUAGGAGGAACACCAGUGGCGAAGGCAGCUUGCUGGACUGUAAAUGACGCUGAGGCUCGAAAGCGUGGGGAGCAAACAGGAUUAGAUACCCGGGUAGUC